UCCCGUGUGGCUCAGUUGGUAGAGCAUGGUGUUUGUAACGCCAGGGUUGUGGGUUCGAUUCCCACAGGGGAC
Molecule: non-coding RNA, 72 nt
Organism: Salmo salar (Atlantic salmon)
Lineage: Eukaryota; Metazoa; Chordata; Actinopteri; Salmoniformes; Salmonidae
Source: Rfam